RNAcentral lists this ribosomal RNA (497 nucleotides) under uncultured bacterium. Its description in RNAcentral is "partial 16S ribosomal RNA". It matches the Rfam family "Bacterial small subunit ribosomal RNA", at positions 28 to 507 of the family's 1533-position model. The record is from RNAcentral.
GAUGAACGCUGGCGGCGUGCCUAAUACAUGCAAGUCGAGCGAACAGAUAAGGAGCUUGCUCCUUUGACGUUAGCGGCGGACGGGUGAGUAACACGUGGGUAACCUACCUAUAAGACUGGAAUAACUCCGGGAAACCGGGGCUAAUGCAGGAUAACAUGUUGAACCGAAUGGUUCUACAGUGAAAGGCGGCUUUGCUGUAACUUAUAGAUGGACCCGCGCCGUAUUAGCUAGUUGGUGAGGUAACGGCUCACCAAGGCAACGAUACGUAGCCGACCUGAGAGGGUGAUCGGCCACACUGGAACUGAGACACGGUCCAGACUCCUACGGGAGGCAGCAGUAGGGAAUCUUCCGCAAUGGGCGAAAGCCUGACGGAGCAACGCCGCGUGAGUGAUGAAGGUCUUCGGAUCGUAAAACUCUGUUAUUAGGGAAGAACAAAUGCGUAAGUAACUGUGCGCGUCUUGACGGUACCUAAUCAGAAAGCCACGGCUAACUACGUG